This is a non-coding RNA of Heterocephalus glaber (naked mole-rat), 6455 nucleotides long. NCBI's taxonomy places the organism in Eukaryota, Metazoa, Chordata, Mammalia, Rodentia, Bathyergidae. The record is from RefSeq and is a predicted model, not a curated record.
ACUGACACAGUGAGUAAGUGGCACAGCCACUGAAGGGAACCCAGAACUCUGACUCACAAGCUACUCUUUCCUGACACCACCCUGCUGAAAGGUGUAGGAGGAACAGGAUGGGUCAUGGACAGCACAUGAGGGCCAAAUGGGCUGGAGUGUUCAGUUUAGGUUUGUGAGAGAAGAAAUGACUGAAAUGCACCUUGACAGUGAAGAUGGUCACCAUGCUUGCAUCCUGACAGUAGUGAUUGGGAACCAUCUCUGAAAUUGAGGAUGGAGACAGAGCCGCCUUUUGUUACCUGUUGUGACUAGCAGUGGUCCAGUGGUCAUAGGCACACUGCCUAUGAGGAAACUGAGGCUCAAGAAAUUUGAGUCAAGUUCCCAAGAGAAACAUCUUACAAGCAGAGAUGGGAUUUAAAGAGAGGUUGCUUCUAACUACUGGGCUCUACUACCAGCCAAUGAGACUUGAACAGUUAUCACUGAAACUGACCCUCAUUUUCUAAGGGUCAGGGAUGGACUGAGAAAAAUGGUACUUGGAAUGUAGACACCAGGAUGCACUGAGGCCCCUACCUUGCACAAGAGAAUUGUGGGCACUCUCGUGUCCCUCAGUAAUGGGCACUUGACUUGUCUGAAUGGCUUACAUGCAGCCCAAAUGGCAGGCGCUGGGACUGCCGGCACAACUGCUGUCGGGAGAAGGUCUGUCCCUGUGCCACCCUGGCAACAAUGGACCAGCCUAUCUAGAAUCUUCUCUGCUGGCCAAGGCACUCUGCAACAGUAAGUAAAAUAUUCACAAUCAGAUCUGAACUUUUCCAGCAGGACAUUCCUUGUGACCAAAUCCUAUGUGACCUGGGCAGUGUGCUCUUUCAUGGGCUGCUUCCAGUCACACAAGUAACAAAAGGCAGCUCUGGCUCCAUCCUCAAUUUCUGCAAGGAUCCAAUUAUACAGAGAUUGGGCCAGGUGAUCCCUGAGCCUCUGCCUUCCAUUGCUCUGAGGCAUUUACAAAAUGCAGUGAAGGCAACUGAAAAAUAGACAUGUGGUGAGAAGGAGAAGGAGAGGAAGAAAGAGACAGAGAGAGAAAGACAGAGACAGAGACUGACUUUGGAAAUUAUCAGCCUGUCAACUUACCAUAUGGAGAAAUACUGCUGCCAUUGAUCAAAAUAUCAAGUUGUCAGCACUGAAACAGAAUGCUAAGGAAGUACUAAGUUGUAUGUACAUACAGUUGUAUGACAAACUGAGCCUCGUGGACUAACAGAACUUCCUUCUGAGGCAGUGGCAAUUAACAGUGGUAACCAUAAGGUCAAGACAGGACCCUUCAAAGACUUUAGGAAGACCUGGUUGAGCAUCUGGUCCUAGGUCUUGGACACUUGGGCAAAGGUUAGACUCCUUGGAAGAGAGCUUGGGAAAGUUGCCCAGCCUCUCAGGAUAUCCCAGAGUUAAGGACAUCACAAUCAUCCAGAACAGGGCUUCUUGCUUAUCAUUGUUGACUGUGGUCCCGACUCUAGGCACAAAUUCAUUGGCAGCACACAGUGAGUAGUUGAUUGAAUAAUAAGUUCUCUGUAAACAACGCUUUGUUGAUUGAGUCAUUAAUACUUGAAAAUAGUGUUUAAUUAUAUUUCACCUUACUAUACUAAAGCUAAAAUACCAUCUGCACAUUUCUGAUUUAUGGGGAAAUAGCUAUUAUUCUAAAGGAAUGUAUAUGAUACUAUAACCUUCAAAACCAUUGAUAUUUUAAUAUUAAAAGCAAUGUGGGGGAUGGGGAUUUAGCACAGUAGUGCCAUGCCUGCCUUGCAAGAGCAAGAUCCUGAGUUCGAUCCCUGGUACCCCCCCAAAAAAGCAAUGUAGGUUCAUUGCUUAAACUACAGAAUAUAAAUUAGAAAGAAUUGCCUCUAAUCUCAUAAUUCCUCUACUUAGGUACAAUGAGUUAACAUUUUAGUGUAGUUUCUUCCAAUUUUUUCAUAGAUAUAUACAUAUAUAUGCACAGAUUCAUAUAUAUUUAAAAUUAAAAUUACAUGGAAUAUAUGGCUGUCUUCCUUUUUCACAGAAUGUUACAGAUGGAACAUUUUCAUUGAUCAACAACUAACUCUGAAAAUAUGAUUUUUACAUAUCUACAUAGCGUUCUAUCAUAUGGAUGGACUAUGAUUUACUUAGCUGUUUCCUUAUGUUUGUAUGUUGGGUUUAUUUCCAACUUUUCCUGUAUUAUAAAGAAUGCUUCAUAGAAUAUGCUCAUUCAUAAAUCAUUCUGAACACUUUCGAUCAUUUUUCUUAGGACAUAUCUAGAAGCAGAUUACUAGACAAGGAAAUAUAAACAUUGUUAUGGUUCUUGUUACAUACUUCUUAAGAUGUUUAUAAAACAUUUAAGGAUUAAAGUCUAAAAGAAGUUACAGAAAUAACAGGUUUGGUUUGGUUUUAGCACUGUUGCCUCCUGUCAUUCAGGCAAGACUGGUCAACAUGUUGGCUACCUUCAGGGUUAUAAUCUUGCUCAUGUUUGUUACCUGCAUUUCAGGAGCCCUCACCCAGAGAAGGCUCUGUCAUGGACAGCCUCCAGUGCUUCGCCUACCCCUAAGGCCUAAGGUCCAUGUUUCUAGGAUGCCAUGACUGCACUUUGCAAAACCAGGACUUGCUCUGGGGGAUUUGUUUCGAGGCUGGAAUACACACUACAAUCAAAGGCCUAGUGUGUAAGACCAGCAAGGAAAAAUAGACAAGAAAGAUUGAGGCCACUGAAUUAAAAAUCCUAAAUUGUUUCCUGCCCUUUGUCUUUUUAUAUAGCUCUUUCUAGCAUCCUAGUAGAUUUCAGAAGUAUCAAGAGUCAUGCUAGCCCCAGAAAAGGCUGUUGAUUAAAAAAUAUAUAAUGAUCAUUUUGAAUAUGGUGUUCAAUUAUAUGCAAUGAUGACUUUACAUUAGGCUUACUUCAACUGUUUCUUUUAUGAAGUAAAAAGCUAAGCUUGUUGUUUAUCUUUAAAAAGUAGCUGUAAUUCUUAACUGUAUCACAGCAGUUUUUGCCUCUUUUCUUCUGAAAACUUACUUUGCAAUGAGCACAGAAUAUAUUCAUAUUAAUCAUAAAUAUCCCCCUCCCCUCCUUUCCAGGUAAAUAGAAUUUUAAUUAUUAGGGUAGAUGGAUUAUCUUAAGUACUUCUCAUUAUACUUUUUUAUGUCCUAUUUCCCUAACUUGCUUUACUGUUUUCUUUGUAUUUUAUAUUAUGCCAAAUAUAUUCUGAAAAAUUUAUGCAAAAUAAUUACCAGUAGAGACACCAAAUAUAUUCCCAUGUUUCAAGAACUUCGAUAUAAACAAGUCUCUGCUGACAGAAUCAUAGGGUCAGAGAAAAGAAAAAAAUGGAUUUAGCUGGCUGGGACCUUGGGAUAGAAAACCCAAUUCCUUUGUUUGGAUCAAAAAAAAAAAAAAAAAGACAGCAGCUCAAAGACGUGAAAUGGCUUUUUGGAGUCUUGUUUUUGUUAUUGAUCCAAGAAUACAGAAUAGAAAAAAUAAUAGACAUAACAUCUUAAUUCUUUACAGCCCUUUACAGUUUAUGAAACACUUUCAUGUCCCGUGUUAAAAGGUACUGCAAUUCUGAGCUUCAGCAAACAAAACUCUCACGUGCUCUCUCCAUGAGACCCACGUGGCUGAUUUCACAUUUGUUGCCAAUGGAGUCUCCAAAGACAUUUAAGGGGAACUCUCAUAGGAAACAAAAGGCUACCACAUCAUGUGGGUCAGUUCAAAAUGGAGAGUAACAUAUCUUGCCCUAAAAGUAGGAAACUAGAGCUACGUCUAACUAGUAUCAGAGGGAUUUUUUUCUGAUUUUUAAACAACUUGUCACUGGUCACAUCUGCUACUUGGGGCUCCAAGGAUCAAAUUAAAUCUCAAAGAAACUCAAGGCUGUGUCUUUCAAUGUCCCCGUGUGGAUUUCUCCACUGAAAAGCACUGGAGUAGGUGUCUUUGCCAGCUGUGUCUUCAUGGAAGAUGACGGCAAAUGCCUGUGUGACAUCAUACAAUAAACUACAAUACUCAUCUGAAAGCUUUCACAGUCAUUCAUUCAGAUUUCCCAAAUUUACAGAGCACAGAGGAGGGAGGCAGAGGAAAACAAGGUGUGGCCACUGUCUCCAACUCAGUGGGCAGGUGCUCAUCCCAGCCACAUCUGUGGGAGUGUCCUGAAUCCUUGGAGAGCUGGCCUUUUUUUUUUUUUUUCUGGCACCAGGAAUUGAACUCAGGGCCUCAUGCUUGCCUGGCAGGCACUGUGCUGCUGAGCUACAUCCUCAGCCCUAACUUCUAUAGAUGAUGUCAGUCUGUUAUGACUGUUGGGGUCGGCUCUUUUGUGACCUCCUCCUCUGGGUACUGGGUUAUAGAGUCAUGCAUUUACUCCUCAGUAGGGUGUAUUUGUUUCCUGUGCUUGCCACAACAAAUUACCACAAACUGGGUGGUUUUAAAGCAACAGAAAUUUCUUCUCAGUUCUUGAGGCCAGAAGUCUGAACAAGGCAUUAGCAAGGCUGUAUUUAUUCCGAAGGCCCCGGGGGGAAAAUCCAACCUUCACCUUUCUUUUCACUCCUACUGUUGCUGGCCAUCCCUGACAGUUUUGGGCUUGUAGAUGCAUCCCUCCAAUCCAUCUCCAUUGUCACAUGGUGCCCUCCUUGUGUCUCUCUCUCUCAAGGAUACCAGCCCCAUUGAUUGGGCCCACCCUAGCUCAGUGCUGUCUCAUCUUUGCUUGAUUACAUCUAUAAGACCCUAUUUCCAAAUAAAGUCACAUUUGCAGCUACCAUGGGUGAGAUCUUACACUGACCUUUAUGGGCGGCACAGAGAUUUGAUCCAUCCAGGGCCCUUUCUCAGGACAGACAACAAAGUCUCCCUUGGAGUGGCAGGCUUCAGACCCACAUGGCUGUGUUCGAGGGGAAAGUGGAAAGAGCAAGCCACAGAGGGUUAAAAUAAUGUGGCAUGAGUUUCCAGGUGUAAGAAGACAGAAGAGCCUAAAGUGGACCUUCAAGGAAGUGACAUUUCCUGUGUCCCUCUCUUUCAUCUUUAUGUGUCUAUCUUUCAUGCUAAUGUCUCUCUCUCCUUGUUCCAGUGAAGCGGCAAAGAGAGUAAAAGUGCUGAGCUUCUGCCAUAAAUCCAGUGCUGCACAGCGCCCCAUCCAUUUGGACCACUCACUGUCCAUCCUCUGUGGCAGCGGUCAUAGCCACUGUGCUGAUAGACUCUGUUUGCUACUCUUGAUUGAGUCUGAGUGACCUCCUGAUAAAGCUUUCCUUUAGGCCGCAAAGUGCGCAUCUCCUUUCCAUUUCAAUCAUCUGCAUCAUAAGUGUUUUCCACUUAAUGAGCACACACAGCCAUGAACAAUCCAGUGUGACUUGUAGCACUGUUAUCACGAGCAUCAGUUGGAAGGAUGGCCAAAAAAUCUCACCUGGAAAAGCACAGGACAGUGAGCAUCUGUGCUCCAUGCACCCAACUGCACCGAGACCCUUCUGCACUAAUGAGCAGGGCAGGCAGCUUGCUCCAGCACAGCUCAGUCACCCUGCAUUCCCCAGGCAAGGUGCUGCUCCCAUCAGGAGCUAAAGUCUUCCUGGAAAAGGAGAGCUGCUUUUCUCUCCCUGUUGGCCACCGCCCACUGGAGAGGUAGAAAUUGUUAAAGAUAUGUUUAUCAUAGUCCCUGCCCCAGUAACAAAUCACCUAAUGUGAAAUGCAGGGACAAAACAAGUAUGUAAAGAACUUUCAGGAAACUAAACAAGUAUGAUAAAAAUCUUUGGAUUAUAUACAGGCAAAAGGAAACUGCAUUUUCUGACAAAUGAAUACAAGUUGUAAGUGAGCCUUUGGGGGAGGAAUAACCAUCUUUCCUCCAAAUUUCCAGAAACUUGGUGAAGAAAUUUUUUUAAUCCUUACACCCUAAUUAGUUUAGUAACAAAUGAUGAGCAUAGUCAAGACUGUUGAAAGUAAGAGAAACAGAACUCAAAUAAAGGGCAAUAUAUUUAUUCAUUAUCUAAAAAUAUUCAGAACAGUUCCAGAUAUUCAAACAAUGUCUUCAGACUUAUUCUACAGGCUUCUGUUUUGCCUUCCUCUCCCAAUUUCAUUCUCAAGAAGGUAAUCCUUUUUUUAUUUUUUUUAUUUUUUUUGACAAGAUGUCCAACAGAAGUUCUGGGCUAAUUUUCUGGAGCCAAGAAGAGAAUUUCUCUUUUCCAGUACAUAUAGCCUAGUAGACGCCAACCGUAGGCUCACAGCCUCGCCUCUGACAGUCUCCUCAGUAACAUCUGCUCACUCCUGAAGCAUCAGCCUACUGAACCCUCUUGUUGGCCACUUAUGAACCUUGUGAUCUGUCCUGGGCUGCUGUAAGAGUCAACUCCACCAGAACCCAGGGACUGCGGGGCAGGGGGGGGGGGGCCUCCCUAAAGAGAACUAGGGUCCUGCUCUCAUGGGAAGAAAUGAGUGUUGGGCAGACAAAAGCAACAAAUACCAUGACAUGGAACAAAAAUAAAUGUACAUUGCUACAGGA